GAUGAACGCUGGCGGCGUGCCUAAUACAUGCAAGUCGAGCGAACGGACGAGAAGCUUGCUUCUCUGAUGUUAGCGGCGGACGGGUGAGUAACACGUGGAUAACCUACCUAUAAGACUGGGAUAACUUCGGGAAACCGGAGCUAAUACCGGAUAAUAUUUUGAACCGCAUGGUUCAAAAGUGAAAGACGGUCUUGCUGUCACUUAUAGCUGGAUCCGCGCUGCAUUAGCUAGUUGGUAAGGUAACGGCUUACCAAGGCAACGAUGCAUAGCCGACCUGAGAGGGUGAUCGGCCACACUGGAACUGAGACACGGUCCAGACUCCUACGGGAGGCAGCAGUAGGGAAUCUUCCGCAAUGGGCGAAAGCCUGACGGAGCAACGCCGCGUGAGUGAUGAAGGUCUUCGGAUCGUAAAACUCUGUUAUGAGGGAAGAACAUAUGUGUAAGUAACUGUGCACAUCUUGACGGUACCUAAUCAGAAAGCCACGGCUAACUACGUG
Molecule: ribosomal RNA, 497 nt
Filed under: uncultured bacterium
Lineage: Bacteria
Description: partial 16S ribosomal RNA
Rfam family: Bacterial small subunit ribosomal RNA
Source: RNAcentral